AGUGAACGCUGGCGGCAGGCCUAACACAUGCAAGUCGAGCGGCAGCGCGUCCGACCACCCUCGGGUGGUCGGAUGGCGGCGAGCGGCGGACGGGUGAGGAAUGCAUCGGAAUCUGCCUCGUUGUGGGGGAUAACGUAGGGAAACUUACGCUAAUACCGCAUACGACCUACGGGUGAAAGUGGGGGACCUUCGGGCCUCACGCGAUGAGAUGAGCCGAUGCCGGAUUAGCUAGUUGGCGGGGUAAAGGCCCACCAAGGCGACGAUCCGUAGCUGGUCUGAGAGGAUGAUCAGCCACACUGGAACUGAGACACGGUCCAGACUCCUACGGGAGGCAGCAGUGGGGAAUAUUGGACAAUGGGGGCAACCCUGAUCCAGCCAUGCCGCGUGCAGGAAGACGGACCUAUGGCUUGUAAACUGCUUUUGAACGGGAGAAAACCCCCCUACGUCGUAGGGGGCUGAUAGUACUGUUAGAAUAAGCAUCGGCUAACUUCGUGCCAGCA
This 500-nucleotide ribosomal RNA is filed under the name uncultured bacterium. RNAcentral describes it as "bacterial SSU rRNA". It matches the Rfam family "Bacterial small subunit ribosomal RNA", at positions 29 to 513 of the family's 1533-position model. The record is from RNAcentral.